RNAcentral lists this transfer RNA (88 nucleotides) under Capsulimonas corticalis. RNAcentral describes it as "tRNA-Trp". It matches the Rfam family "tRNA". From Rfam's summary of the family: Transfer RNA (tRNA) molecules are approximately 80 nucleotides in length. Lineage: Bacteria; Bacillati; Armatimonadota; Armatimonadia; Capsulimonadales; Capsulimonadaceae. RNAcentral also lists the same sequence under 1 other name. The record is from RNAcentral.
GGGUCGGUAUCCAAGCGGCUGAAGGGAGUAGUCUCCAAAACUACCGGCAGCAAUGCCCGCGUGGGUUCAAAUCCUACCCGGCCCGCCA